CAUCAUUCACAGUGAUCAUUCAUUCAACAGCCAGCAAGUCAGCAGCCUCACUGUGUAUAGCCGCCAAAUCGUCUUUCGCGUUCGCAUUCGUUCAACUGAGGUACAAGGAAAUACAGCAUUUUUAUUAGAUUACCAGCCAGUCAUAGGCCUUUUCCGUAUACAAAGUUUCCAUUUCCAGUGUGUGAAAUCUAUCGCUUCCAAGAUGUGUAACUGCGCCACCAUCAUUGUUUGCUCUAUUCUGUUCGCCAUCGCGAUCGCCGUUGCCAUCUACUAUGGUGUGUUCAACGUCGAUGAGUCAGCGCCGCAGGUAGGCGAUUUCAUCAAAAAGACCGGAGACUCGAUCAAGCACGGCGUCAACGAGGGUGUCAAGAAAUUCGACGACUGAUCACCGUGGGUCAUCGUCGUCGUUUGCGUAUUCCGUUAUCUUCAAUGAACUCACCAUCAGCGAAAUGCGACUGACGGGAAUCUUUAUUUUAGAGCAUAUGACAUCACACGAAAUGGAAUCUCUUUUGAAUCUUCUUUGAUUUUUAUGACAAACUUUCUAUUAUUUAUUAGUAUUUUCCCAGUAAUAUUAAAGUUAAUAUUUGGAAUAUAAAAAUGUUAAAAA
Molecule: RNA transcript, 607 nt
Organism: Armigeres subalbatus
Lineage: Eukaryota; Metazoa; Arthropoda; Insecta; Diptera; Culicidae
Exons: 4
Source: RefSeq, a predicted model, not a curated record